This 253-nucleotide ribosomal RNA is filed under the name uncultured bacterium. RNAcentral's name for it is "partial 16S ribosomal RNA". It matches the Rfam family "Bacterial small subunit ribosomal RNA", at positions 524 to 776 of the family's 1533-position model. The record is from RNAcentral.
UACGUAGGGGGCAAGCGUUGUCCGGAUUUAUUGGGCGUAAAGAGCGUGUAGGCGGCUUGACAAGUCUGCUGUGAAAACUCGAGGCUCAACCUCGAGCUGUCGGCGGAAACUGUCAGGCUAGAGUCCGGAAGAGGAGAGUGGAAUUCCUGGUGUAGCGGUGAAAUGCGCAGAUAUCAGGAAGAACACCUAUGGCGAAGGCAGCUCUCUGGGACGGUACUGACGCUGAGACGCGAAAGCGUGGGGAGCGAACAGG